Long non-coding RNA from Symphalangus syndactylus (siamang), 297 nucleotides. RefSeq lists it as uncharacterized. The record is from RefSeq and is a predicted model, not a curated record. Lineage: Eukaryota; Metazoa; Chordata; Mammalia; Primates; Hylobatidae.
UAGGCUGAGCCAACAACAUUUACUAAUCCCACAUGUUGUCACAAAGCAGACACCAUCCUCUAUACAAAUGACUGAGGAGCAAGCACUAAGAAGUGGGCCGCUGAAGUGAAGUGCAGAGGAAACUGUAGCAGUCAGAAGUUGAGAUGGACAUGUUUGCUUCCCCUUCUGCAACGGUUGCAAGUUUCCUGAGGCCUCUCAGCCAUGUUGAACUGUACACUGGUGACUGCUUCCACAUAGAGGUCACAUAUCGCAAAGGGCACACUGAGACCGUGGUGACCCAGGUGAAGGAAGUGGGGC